RNAcentral lists this ribosomal RNA (240 nucleotides) under uncultured bacterium. RNAcentral describes it as "partial 16S ribosomal RNA". It matches the Rfam family "Bacterial small subunit ribosomal RNA", at positions 94 to 334 of the family's 1533-position model. The record is from RNAcentral.
AGCGGCGGACGGGUGAGUAACGCGUGGGUAACCUGCCUCAUACAGGGGGAUAACAGUUGGAAACGGCUGCUAAUACCGCAUAAGCGCACAGUACCGCAUGGUACCGUGUGAAAAACUCCGGUGGUAUGAGAUGGACCCGCGUCUGAUUAGCUAGUUGGUGGGGUAACGGCCUACCAAGGCGACGAUCAGUAGCCGACCUGAGAGGGUGACCGACCACAUUGGGACUGAGACACGGCCCAA